RNAcentral lists this ribosomal RNA (928 nucleotides) under Microbacterium sp. VRT3. RNAcentral's name for it is "bacterial SSU rRNA". It matches the Rfam family "Bacterial small subunit ribosomal RNA", at positions 74 to 1012 of the family's 1533-position model. Lineage: Bacteria; Bacillati; Actinomycetota; Actinomycetes; Micrococcales; Microbacteriaceae. The record is from RNAcentral.
AGGAGCUUGCUCUUGUGGAUCAGUGGCGAACGGGUGAGUAACACGUGAGCAACCUGCCCCUGACUCUGGGAUAAGCGCUGGAAACGGCGUCUAAUACUGGAUAUGUGACGUGACCGCAUGGUCUGCGUUUGGAAAGAUUUUUCGGUUGGGGAUGGGCUCGCGGCCUAUCAGCUUGUUGGUGAGGUAAUGGCUCACCAAGGCGUCGACGGGUAGCCGGCCUGAGAGGGUGACCGGCCACACUGGGACUGAGACACGGCCCAGACUCCUACGGGAGGCAGCAGUGGGGAAUAUUGCACAAUGGGCGAAAGCCUGAUGCAGCAACGCCGCGUGAGGGAUGACGGCCUUCGGGUUGUAAACCUCUUUUAGCAGGGAAGAAGCGAAAGUGACGGUACCUGCAGAAAAAGCGCCGGCUAACUACGUGCCAGCAGCCGCGGUAAUACGUAGGGCGCAAGCGUUAUCCGGAAUUAUUGGGCGUAAAGAGCUCGUAGGCGGUUUGUCACGUCUGCUGUGAAAUCCCGAGGCUCAACCUCGGGCCUGCAGUGGGUACGGGCAGACUAGAGUGCGGUAGGGGAGAUUGGAAUUCCUGGUGUAGCGGUGGAAUGCGCAGAUAUCAGGAGGAACACCGAUGGCGAAGGCAGAUCUCUGGGCCGUAACUGACGCUGAGGAGCGAAAGGGUGGGGAGCAAACAGGCUUAGAUACCCUGGUAGUCCACCCCGUAAACGUUGGGAACUAGUUGUGGGGUCCAUUCCACGGAUUCCGUGACGCAGCUAACGCAUUAAGUUCCCCGCCUGGGGAGUACGGCCGCAAGGCUAAAACUCAAAGGAAUUGACGGGGACCCGCACAAGCGGCGGAGCAUGCGGAUUAAUUCGAUGCAACGCGAAGAACCUUACCAAGGCUUGACUAUACGAGAACGGGCCAGUAAUGGUCA